AUGGUGGGGGUGAGCGCCGGGACGGGGGCAAUGGGCUCCCUCCUCGCCAAGCUCACCGCGCUUCUCAGCGACGAGUACAAGCUCCUGAAGUGCGUCCGAAAGGAGAUCGAGUUCCUCAAGCGCGAGCUCGAGAGGAUGCGGAUCCUGUUGGAGAGGCUGGCGGACAUGGAGGGGAGGCUCGACGGCCUGGCCAGGGGCUGGAGAGACAGCGUGCGCGACCUCAGCUACGACAUGGAAGACUGCAUCGACCGCUUCAUGGACCGGCUUGGCAGCGGCGACGCCAAACCCAAGUUCAUGAAGAGGACGGCGCGCCGGCUCAAGACUCUGUGGGCGCGCCAUGACAUCGCGACCCAGAUCAAGGAGCUCAUGGCUCGCGUCAUGGAGGAAAGUGAGCGGCGUGACAGGUACAAGCUUGACGAGAGUUGUUACAGUCUAACGAAGAGGGUGGAGAUUGACCCACGGAUAACCUCGCUUCACGAGGAGGUCAAGGACUUGGUGGCAGUGGACGGCCGAGUGAAGCAAGUUACUGCUUUGUUGAUGGAUGAGAGUAUGGAGCUCAAAAUGUUGCCGAUUGUCGGGUCCGGAGGGUUGGGGAAAACGACCCUGGCCAUGGAGGUGUACCGCAAGAUUGGGGUGGACUUCUAG
This 645-nucleotide ribosomal RNA is filed under the name Triticum aestivum (bread wheat). Its description in RNAcentral is "partial small subunit ribosomal RNA". Lineage: Eukaryota; Viridiplantae; Streptophyta; Magnoliopsida; Poales; Poaceae. The record is from RNAcentral.